UGCAGCAGAGCUCCGACCUUCGGGGACGAGCGCUUUUAUUAGACCAAAACCAAUCGGACCUCGUGUCCGUCCUUUGUGGUGACUCUGUAUAACUUUGGGCUGAUCGCACGGGCCUGUCCCGGCGACGUAUCUUUCAAGUGUCUGCCUUAUCAACUUUCGAUGGUAGGUUACGCGCCUACCAUGGUCGUAACGGGUAACGGGGAAUCAGGGUUCGAUUCCGGAGAGGGAGCCUGAGAAACGGCUACCACAUCCAAGGAAGGCAGCAGGCGCGCAAAUUACCCACUCCCAGAACGGGGAGGUAGUGACGAAAAAUAACAAUACGGGACUCUUUUGAGACCCCGUAAUUGGAAUGAGUACACUCUAAAUCCUUUAACGAGGAUCCAUUGGAGGGUAAGUCUGGUGCCAGCAACCGCGGUAAUUCCAGCUCCAAUAGCGUAUAUUAAAGUUGUUGCGGUUAAAAAGCUCGUAGUUGGAUCUCAGUUCCAGACGGGUGGUCCUCCUACCGGUGGUUACUGCCUGUUCUGAACAGUCAGCCGGUUUCUCUUGAUGAUCUUCACCGGUUGUCUUGGGUGACCGGCAAGUUUACUUUGAAAAAAUUAGAGUGCUCAAAGCAGGCGUGACGCCUGAAUAAUGGUGCAUGGAAUAAUGGAAUAGGACCUCGGUUCUAUUUUGUUGGUUUUCGGAACACGAGGUAAUGAUUAAGAGGGACAGACGGGGGCAUUCGUAUUGCGACGCUAGAGGUGAAAUUCUUGGACCGUCGCAAGACGAACUACUGCGAAAGCAUUU
RNAcentral lists this ribosomal RNA (786 nucleotides) under Pireneitega huochengensis. Its description in RNAcentral is "SSU rRNA". It matches the Rfam family "Eukaryotic small subunit ribosomal RNA", at positions 172 to 956 of the family's 1831-position model. The record is from RNAcentral. Lineage: Eukaryota; Metazoa; Arthropoda; Arachnida; Araneae; Agelenidae.